GUGUCAGCCGCCGCGGUAAUACGUAGGGUGCAAGCGUUAAUCGGAAUUACUGGGCGUAAAGCGUGCGCAGGCGGUUUUGUAAGACGGAUGUGAAAUCCCCGGGCUCAACCUGGGAACUGCAUUCGUGACUGCAAGGCUAGAGUAUGUCAGAGGGAGGUGGAAUUCCGCGUGUAGCAGUGAAAUGCGUAGAGAUGCGGAGGAACACCGAUGGCGAAGGCAGCCUCCUGGGAUAAUACUGACGCUCAUGCACGAAAGCGUGGGGAGCAAACAGGAUUAGAUACCCUGGUAGUCCACGCCCUAAACGAUGUCAACUAGUUGUCGGGUCUUAAUUGACUUGGUAACGCAGCUAACGCGUGAAGUUGACCGCCUGGGGAGUACGGCCGCAAGGUUAAAACUCAAAGAAAUUGGCGG
RNAcentral lists this ribosomal RNA (411 nucleotides) under uncultured bacterium. Its description in RNAcentral is "bacterial SSU rRNA". It matches the Rfam family "Bacterial small subunit ribosomal RNA", at positions 505 to 916 of the family's 1533-position model. The record is from RNAcentral.